GACGAACGUUGGCGGCGUGCCUAAUACAUGCAAGUCAACUGAAAUACCGGUAGCAAUACUGGUAUGGAGGUGGCGCACGGGUGAGUAACACGUAGGUAAUCUGCCUUCAGGUCUGACAUAACCCAUCGAAAGGUGAGCUAAUAUCAGAUGAUGCAGCGGCUUGACAUCAAGACAGUUGUUAAAGCUUCGGCGCCUGAAGAUGAGCCUGCGUCUGAUUAGCUAGUUGGCGGGGUAACGGCCACCAAGGCUGCGAUCAGUAGCUGGUCUGAGAGGAUGAUCAGUCACACUGGAACUGAGACACGGUCCAGACUCCUACGGGAGGCAG
This 325-nucleotide ribosomal RNA is filed under the name uncultured bacterium. RNAcentral's name for it is "bacterial SSU rRNA". It matches the Rfam family "Bacterial small subunit ribosomal RNA", at positions 28 to 351 of the family's 1533-position model. The record is from RNAcentral.